Molecule: ribosomal RNA, 200 nt
Filed under: uncultured Pseudomonas sp.
Lineage: Bacteria; Pseudomonadati; Pseudomonadota; Gammaproteobacteria; Pseudomonadales; Pseudomonadaceae
Description: partial 16S ribosomal RNA
Rfam family: Bacterial small subunit ribosomal RNA
Source: RNAcentral
GAGGAAUAUCAGGCACACUGGAACUGAGACACGGUCCAGACUCCUACGGGAGGCAGCAGUGGGGAAUAUUGGACAAUGGGCGAAAGCCUGAUCCAGCCAUGCCGCGUGUGUGAAGAAGGUCUUCGGAUUGUAAAGCACUUUAAGUUGGGAGGAAGGGCAGUUACCUAAUACGUGAUUGUUUUGACGUUACCGACAGAAUA